This 83-nucleotide transfer RNA is filed under the name Stachybotrys chlorohalonatus IBT 40285. Its description in RNAcentral is "Stachybotrys chlorohalonata IBT 40285 tRNA". It matches the Rfam family "tRNA". Rfam says of the family: Transfer RNA (tRNA) molecules are approximately 80 nucleotides in length. Their secondary structure includes four short double-helical elements and three loops (D, anti-codon, and T loops). Further hydrogen bonds mediate the characteristic L-shaped molecular structure. tRNAs have two regions of fundamental functional importance: the anti-codon, which is responsible for specific mRNA codon recognition, and the 3' end, to which the tRNAs corresponding amino acid is attached (by aminoacyl-tRNA synthetases). tRNAs cope with the degeneracy of the genetic code in two manners: having more than one tRNA (with a specific anti-codon) for a particular amino acid; and 'wobble' base-pairing, i.e. permitting non-standard base-pairing at the 3rd anti-codon position. The record is from Rfam by way of RNAcentral. Lineage: Eukaryota; Fungi; Ascomycota; Sordariomycetes; Hypocreales; Stachybotryaceae.
GCCCUGGUAGCACAGUGGUAGUGCGUGUCACUCGUAAACAUGAGUUAAUGACAAGGUCGUCUGUUCGAUCCAGGCCCCGGGCA